Molecule: ribosomal RNA, 460 nt
Filed under: uncultured bacterium
Lineage: Bacteria
Description: partial 16S ribosomal RNA
Rfam family: Bacterial small subunit ribosomal RNA
Source: RNAcentral
CCUACGGGGGGCAGCAGUGAGGAAUAUUGGUCAAUGGAUGAGAGUCUGAACCAGCCAAGUAGCGUGAAGGAUGACUGCCCUAUGGGUUGUAAACUUCUUUUAUAUGGGAAUAAAAUGUUCCACGUGUGGGAUUUUGUAUGUACCAUAUGAAUAAGGAUCGGCUAACUCCGUGCCAGCAGCCGCGGUAAUACGGAGGAUCCGAGCGUUAUCCGGAUUUAUUGGGUUUAAAGGGAGCGUAGGUGGAUUGUUAAGUCAGUUGUGAAAGUUUGCGGCUCAACCGUAAAAUUGCAGUUGAAACUGGCAGUCUUGAGUACAGUAGAGGUGGGCGGAAUUCGUGGUGUAGCGGUGAAAUGCUUAGAUAUCACGAAGAACUCCGAUUGCGAAGGCAGUUCACUGGACUGCAACUGACACUGAGGCUCGAAAGUGUGGGUAUCAAACAGGAUUAGAUACCCGAGUAGUC